Ceratotherium simum simum (southern white rhinoceros) is the source of this 272-nucleotide non-coding RNA. The record is from RefSeq and is a predicted model, not a curated record. NCBI's taxonomy places the organism in Eukaryota, Metazoa, Chordata, Mammalia, Perissodactyla, Rhinocerotidae.
UUUUUCCUUCCAAAAUGGCUUCACUCUAGCGUAUGUGAAACCAAGUAACUGAAAAUUAGGUAAAGCAGUAAAUAGGGCAAGGGUUAUCUACAGUUCUUCCCAGGCCCUAAAGUUUCCUGUGUGAAUUUGUGCAACUCUUCCUCUCAACCAUAAAGGAAGAUGUUAUACUCAUACCAAGCAAGCACAGAGCAAUCAAGUUUUUACCAUCUAGGAUAUACUAUUUUCUCCUCUUGCCCAUGUUCCUGACUAUAUUCAAUGACAUUUCAAUUAAA